Brassica rapa (field mustard) is the source of this 309-nucleotide long non-coding RNA. RefSeq lists it as uncharacterized. NCBI's taxonomy places the organism in Eukaryota, Viridiplantae, Streptophyta, Magnoliopsida, Brassicales, Brassicaceae. The record is from RefSeq and is a predicted model, not a curated record.
AACAAUUGAUUUUUACAACUUUAUUGAAUUAAAUUUUUCUUAUCCCACGAAUCUCUUCGGUUCCUACCUGCAAUUUUACAACGGUUUCUUCCUCAUUUAGUUGCAUUAAUAAAUUCAACGCUAUGACCUUACGACUCCGUUUUUCAACUCAUUCCCUAUUUGAUAUAAAUAUAGAGUGAUGGCGGUGAAGUUCAAUCCCUAAUCAUAUUUGUUGGGUACUAGCUCCGUACGAAGUUGGUGGGUUCAACGAAAGCUUCACCCUUUCUGAAUAAAUGGCGACUCCUUUAGGCUCACUGCAGGAAAUUGGUU